UACGUAGGGGGCUAGCGUUGUCCGGAUUUAUUGGGCGUAAAGAGCGUGUAGGCGGUCCGGUAAGUCCGCUGUGAAAGUCGGGGGCUCAACCCUCGGAUGCCGGUGGAUACUGUCGGGCUUGAGUACGGAAGAGGCGAGUGGAAUUCCUGGUGUAGCGGUGAAAUGCGCAGAUAUCAGGAGGAACACCAAUUGCGAAGGCAGCUCGCUGGGACGUUACUGACGCUGAGACGCGAAAGCGUGGGGAGCAAACAGG
RNAcentral lists this ribosomal RNA (253 nucleotides) under uncultured bacterium. RNAcentral's name for it is "partial 16S ribosomal RNA". It matches the Rfam family "Bacterial small subunit ribosomal RNA", at positions 524 to 776 of the family's 1533-position model. The record is from RNAcentral.